CCCUUAGAUGUUCUGGGCCGCACGCGCGCUACACUGACGAAUGCAACGAGCUUAUGACCUUGGCCGAAAGGUCUGGGUAAUCUCCAAAUUUCGUCGUGAUGGGGAUAGAUUAUUGCAAUUAUUAAUCUUCAACGAGGAAUGCCUAGUAAGCGCAAGUCAUCAGCUUGCGUUGAUUACGUCCCUGCCCUUUGUACACACCGCCCGUCGCUCCUACCGAUUGAAUGGUCCGGUGAAGCGUUCGGACCGUGGCCUUUGGACGGUUCGCCGUCUGUUGGCUGCGGGAAGUUCGUUAAACCUUAUCAUUUAGAGGAAGGAGAANUCGUAACA
Molecule: ribosomal RNA, 327 nt
Filed under: uncultured eukaryote
Lineage: Eukaryota
Description: partial 18S ribosomal RNA
Rfam family: Eukaryotic small subunit ribosomal RNA
Source: RNAcentral